GCGUAAAGAGCGUGUAGGCGGCCUGUUAAGUCGGCUGUGAAAGCCCAUGGCUCAACCAUGGAAGUGCAGUCGAUACUGGCGGGCUAGAGUCCCGGAGAGGGUGGUGGAAUUCCUGGUGUAGGGGUGAAAUCUGUAGAUAUCAGGAAGAACACCUGUGGCGAAGGCGAGCUUCUGGCCAGAAACUGACGCUGAGGCGCGAAAGCGUGGGGAGCGAACAGGAUUAGAUACCCUGGUAGUCCACGCUGUAAACGAUGUGCACUAGGUGUUGGCUGUGAUAACGGUCGGUGCCGAAGCAAACGCGAUAAGUGCACCGCCUGGGGAGUAUGCUCGCAAGGGUGAAACUCAAAGGAAUUGACGGGGGCCCGCACAAGCGGUGGAGCAUGUGGUUUAAUUCGAUGAUACGCGAAGAACCUUACCAGGGCUUGACAUAUAGCGGACUGCGGCAGAGAUGUCGCUUCCCUUCGGGGCUGCUAUACAGGUGCUGCAUGGCUGUCGUCAGCUCGUGCUGUGAGGUGUUGGGUUAAGUCCCGCAACGAGCGCAACCCCUGCUGUCUGUUACCAGCACGUAAUGGUGGGGACUCAGGCGGUACUGCCGGUGACAAACCCGGAGGAAGGCUGGGGACGACGUCAAGUCAUCAUGGCCCUUAUGUCCUGGGCUACACACGUGUUACAAUGGCCGGUACAGAGUGCAGCGAAACCGCGAGGUGGAGCAAAUCACAGAAAGCCGGUCUCAGUACGGAUUGGAGUCUGAAACCCGACUUCAUGAAGCUGGAAUCGCUAGU
This 782-nucleotide ribosomal RNA is filed under the name uncultured spirochete. Its description in RNAcentral is "bacterial SSU rRNA". It matches the Rfam family "Bacterial small subunit ribosomal RNA", at positions 558 to 1339 of the family's 1533-position model. The record is from RNAcentral. Lineage: Bacteria; Pseudomonadati; Spirochaetota; Spirochaetia; Spirochaetales.